AACGUAGGGUGCGAGCGUUAAUCGGAAUUACUGGGCGUAAAGCGUGCGCAGGCGGUUCGUUGUGUCCGUCGUGAAAGCCCCGGGCUUAACCUGGGAACUGCGAUGGAAACUAGCGAGCUGGAGUGUGGCAGAGGGGGGUGGAAUUCCGCGUGUAGCAGUGAAAUGCGUAGAGAUGCGGAGGAACACCGAUGGCGAAGGCAGCCCCCUGGGCUAACACUGACGCUCAGGCACGAAAGCGUGGGGAGCAAACAGG
This 253-nucleotide ribosomal RNA is filed under the name uncultured bacterium. RNAcentral describes it as "partial 16S ribosomal RNA". It matches the Rfam family "Bacterial small subunit ribosomal RNA", at positions 524 to 776 of the family's 1533-position model. The record is from RNAcentral.